UCCAGACUCCUACGGGAGGCAGCAGUGGGGGAUAUUGCACAAUGGGGGAAACCCUGAUGCAGCGACGCCGCGCGGGCGAAGAAGUAUUUCGGUAUGUAAAGCCCUACCAGCAGGGAAGAAGAAAUGACGGUACCUGAGUAAGAAGCACCGGCUAAAUACGUGCCAGCAGCCGCGGUAAUACGUAGGGGGCAAGCGUUAUCCGGAUUUACUGGGUGUAAAGGGAGCGUAGACGGUCCUGCAAGCCAGAUGUGAAAGCCCGGGGCUCAACCCCGGGACUGCAUUUGGAACUGUAAGGCUAGAGUGUCGGAGAGGCAGGCGGAAUUCCUAGUGUAGCGGUGAAAUGCGUAGAUAUUAGGAGGAACACCAGUGGCGAAGGCGGCCUGCUGGACGAUGACUGACGUUGAGGCUCGAAAGCGUGGGGAGCAAACAGGAUUAGAUACCCCCGUAU
This 448-nucleotide ribosomal RNA is filed under the name uncultured bacterium. RNAcentral describes it as "bacterial SSU rRNA". It matches the Rfam family "Bacterial small subunit ribosomal RNA", at positions 330 to 793 of the family's 1533-position model. The record is from RNAcentral.